AAAAAAAAAAAAAAAAAAAAAAAAAAAACAAGUGCAGCAAAAAAAGGACAAGAACAAGAGUACCGAUAAAAAGUGACAAACUUUCACUGUUUCUGAGGGCAGCGGACAGGCUGAUAAAGUGGUGCAAUUACACCUGAAGUAAAGGUUCUCUCCUUGGUUGGCUCCAGCGUAUCGUACUAACUGAAUGUGUCGUCGUAUGAUUCUUUUGACCUCGAUGACAUGGGGACGGCUUCGAGUCAAGCUCCAUCCAAGAAUCGGCAAUGGUAACUUUAUUGUUCUCAUUUAUCUAGCAUAUAUA
Non-coding RNA from Cucurbita pepo subsp. pepo (vegetable marrow), 298 nucleotides. Lineage: Eukaryota; Viridiplantae; Streptophyta; Magnoliopsida; Cucurbitales; Cucurbitaceae. The record is from RefSeq and is a predicted model, not a curated record.